UAGUGCGUGUUAGUAGUGUGAGAGUGACAGUCAGAUGAGAUCAUUGGCAUUACCGUGACGUUGCGUGACGUUUCAAGUUGAUAUAAAGGCUUGAAGCGGAAGCAGAUUGUUUAGAGCUGCCCUCGCCGGUGAGUCGAUAGGAUCGAUCCCGGCAUCAUCAUGGACCUCACGGACGCUCGCUACAGAUUCACACACACACUCCUGUUCGUUCUUGCAGUUUGUCUGACGUUUCCUGGAGCCGCUGCAGAGACUCAGCCCGAUCUACACUGUAAUGUGACCCGACGACCCGACGGCUCGACUCUGUACCGUGUCUCUGAGCCCCGCUGGUCACACAGAUGUACGAGAGAUUGGAUGUACCGGAACAAAACUGUCGUUGCCAGAGACUCCGACACUGAUGCAGCCUGGGUCCUGAAUGUGACGGAGACCUCCAUCACCCUGAGAGGCUGCGAGGACUUCCUGCACCACACACGGGACUGCAGCGAGGGCUUUCAGGAGGCUCGCUGCACAGUCAACUGCAGCGGUCUCCUGGUCGAGAGCCAGCCCCCCACUGUGAACUCCACGCUGAUCUGCAUCAAUCAGAGUUUCUGUCUGCAGCCGUUUUGGAUUGGGAUCGUCAUCGUUGUCAUCGUCAUCGCUCUCGGUGUCGGCGUCUACGUCCAUCGGUGCGUCUGGAAACGCAAGAGACCAGAGGCGACGACAAAUACGGUCAAAUACAGCGCAGGGAAAGCCGUUAUUAAGGUUUAGAUAGAUCAGGAUAUUGAUAUUCGUCUGUGGAAGACGUCUGUAUUAUAAAGAAACUAUAAUCAAUCAGAAUAAGAGUUAUAUAGUAAUUUUAAUAAAUAAGAGUUAUAUAUUAUUAUUAUUAUUAUUAUAUGUUCCUUGAUAGAGUUCCUGUUGUACAGAGCAGUGGCUGCCAGCCGGGUCACCUCAGCUGAGUUCAGACUGUUAUCUUACUUCCAGUUAUUGACGUUAUUUUCAUACAGUAGAUUUGAAUGUUUCAGUCCGUCGGGUAUUUUAGGUGAAGCCUUCUUUCGUACUCUGUCCACAUGGAGUGGCAACAGCUACGAUUUAAACAUCAUCUCAUUAGCUUUAGCUGAUUAUUUAACCUCCUCUCGCCUGCUAACUAGUAUUCAUCCAUUCUUUAGUUGGAUAUGAAUCAUUUUAGUGGCAUUACUUUUAAAUCGAAUCAUGAAUUCUUGUCUCCAGUUAGUCGAACUUCUCCCGGUUGGAAAUCACUCUCUCAGACUUUGUACAGAGUUUGUACACAGGUCAGUUUAUCUGUUAGAUCUCAUCUCGACUUCUCAGAAGUCGAGUCCAAAGCUGUCUAACUUUUACGUUUUAUUUCCUUCAUACGAUGUAAUUGUAUAUUUUUUGAUUUAUUGUCUUUUUGUUGGGUUAUCAUGAUUUUAUUGUUGUAAAUGAUCCUUUUCUUAUCUGAGUUUUUCACAUGAAACUCAAAUCGUUUUGAAUCAUGUUUCUGCUGUUUAACCACCUGAGACAGAGAUAUUGAGUAAUGCAGCUUUAAAGACACUGAACUGAGCCUGAUGCUGGUGUUCAUGGUGCUCAGAGGAGAGAUCACGAUUAUUAGUUCAUGAUGUCACUGCACAAUACUCACAGUAAAGUGUCUGAAUGGAUUUUGUAUACACUGGACCUGAUGAGCAUGUUGUUAAUCUGUUGUUCUGUAUAUACAGAAAUGUAUUUUUAUUCGCUUGAUGUCACUGGUGGCGGGUUAUCUUUGUACUGUAUGUGGUUUUUUUAUCACUUGGGUGCUUUCUGCUAAAUAAAAUGAUUUGAAACGUCUCUCACUGGUUUCCUGUCGAUAGUAAAUUAAUUAUGACUCAUUUUAAAUGUUAAUGUUCAGUUUUUAACAUAAAAAUAAACACAAGCUGUGGUGACGACGUUUAGCUUCUGAAUUCAAAAUGUUUCUUCAGUUAACAUUCAGAAAUGUACUUA
RNAcentral lists this long non-coding RNA (1953 nucleotides) under Sparus aurata (gilthead seabream). Its description in RNAcentral is "lncRNA (ENSSAUG00010012549.1)". The record is from RNAcentral. Lineage: Eukaryota; Metazoa; Chordata; Actinopteri; Spariformes; Sparidae.